RNAcentral lists this ribosomal RNA (253 nucleotides) under uncultured bacterium. RNAcentral's name for it is "partial 16S ribosomal RNA". It matches the Rfam family "Bacterial small subunit ribosomal RNA", at positions 524 to 776 of the family's 1533-position model. The record is from RNAcentral.
UACAGAGGUCCCAAGCGUUGUUCGGAUUUACUGGGCGUAAAGGGUGCGUAGGCGGUCGGGUAAGUCUGACGUGAAAUCUUCAAGCUCAACUUGGAAACUGCGUCGGAUACUAUUCGGCUCGAGGAAUGGAGGGGAGACUGGAAUUCUCGGUGUAGCAGUGAAAUGCGUAGAUAUCGAGAGGAACACCAGUGGCGAAGGCGAGUCUCUGGACAUUUCCUGACGCUGAGGCACGAAAGCCAGGGGAGCAAACGGG